UCCAGCUUAUCGCUGGCGGUCUCCUGCGAGUUCCCAACUGAAUGAUGGCAACUAAGAACAGGGGUUGCGCCACUUAAGGCAACACCUCACGGCACGAGCUGACGACAGCCAUGCACCACCUGUGCGGGCUCCGUAGAGCGCUGGCUUUCACCAGCUUUACCCCGCAUGUCAAGCCCAGGUAAGGUUCUUCGCGUCGCGUCGAAUUAAGCCACAUGCUCCGCCGCUUGUGCGGGCCCCCGUCAAUUCCUUUGAGUUUCAGUCUUGCGACCGUACUCCCCAGGCGGCGAACUUAACGCGUUAGCUUCGACACUGAGAGCCUAGUUGCUCCCAACGUCCAGUUCGCAUCGUUUAGGGCGUGGACUAC
This 364-nucleotide unclassified non-coding RNA is filed under the name uncultured bacterium. Its description in RNAcentral is "contains 16S-23S intergenic spacer region". The record is from RNAcentral.